This 253-nucleotide ribosomal RNA is filed under the name uncultured bacterium. RNAcentral describes it as "partial 16S ribosomal RNA". It matches the Rfam family "Bacterial small subunit ribosomal RNA", at positions 524 to 776 of the family's 1533-position model. The record is from RNAcentral.
UACGUAGGGGGCAAGCGUUGUCCGGAAUUAUUGGGCGUAAAGAGCGCGUAGGCGGUCCGGUAAGUCGGCUGUGAAAGUCAAGGGCUCAACCCUUGAAAGCCGGCCGAUACUGUCGGACUAGAGUCCGGAAGAGGCGAGUGGAAUUCCCGGUGUAGCGGUGAAAUGCGCAGAUAUCGGGAGGAACACCAAUGGCGAAGGCAGCUCGCUGGGACGGUACUGACGCUAAGGCGCGAAAGCGUGGGGAGCGAACAGG